AGUGAACGCUGGCGGUAGGCCUAACACAUGCAAGUCGAACGGCAGCACAGUAAGAGCUUGCUCUUACGGGUGGCGAGUGGCGGACGGGUGAGGAAUACAUCGGAAUCUACUUUUUCGUGGGGGAUAACGUGGGGAAACUUCCGCUAAUACCGCAUACGACCUACGGGUGAAAGCAGGGGAUAUUCGGACCUUGCGCGAUUGAAUGAGCCGAUGCCGGAUUAGCUAGUUGGCGGGGUAAAGGCCUACCAAGGCGACGAUCCGUAGCUGAUCUGAGAGGAUGAUCAGCCACACUGGAACUGAGACACGGUCCAGACUCCUACGGGAGGCAGCAGUGGGGAAUAUUGGACAAUGGGCGCAAGCCUGAUCCAGCUAUACCGCGUGGGUGAAGAAGGCCUUCGGGUUGUAAAGCCCUUUUGUUGGGAAAGAAAAGCAGCAGGUUAAUACCCCGCUGUUCUGACGGUACCCAAAGAAUAAGCACCGGCUAACUUCGUG
RNAcentral lists this ribosomal RNA (492 nucleotides) under uncultured bacterium. RNAcentral's name for it is "partial 16S ribosomal RNA". It matches the Rfam family "Bacterial small subunit ribosomal RNA", at positions 29 to 507 of the family's 1533-position model. The record is from RNAcentral.